GUUUUAUAGUUGAUCAAGUUCUGCACGGCACAGUUAUUAACAGCACAGGGUCGUUAUAGAGAUAUAUAUUUGUGUGCGAAUGUUUUUAUAAACAUCGGGAUCUUCACAUCCCUCCAGGUGAUCCCUGAAUAAAGACCUUAAACCCCA
Gigantopelta aegis is the source of this 147-nucleotide long non-coding RNA. RefSeq lists it as uncharacterized. The transcript is spliced from 2 exons. The record is from RefSeq and is a predicted model, not a curated record. Lineage: Eukaryota; Metazoa; Mollusca; Gastropoda; Neomphalida; Peltospiridae.